This 393-nucleotide ribosomal RNA is filed under the name uncultured bacterium. Its description in RNAcentral is "partial 16S ribosomal RNA". It matches the Rfam family "Bacterial small subunit ribosomal RNA", at positions 523 to 918 of the family's 1533-position model. The record is from RNAcentral.
AUACGGAGGAUGCGAGCGUUAUCCGGAUUUAUUGGGUUUAAAGGGUGCGUAGGCGGCCUUGUAAGUCAGCGGUGAAAUUUUGCAGCUUAACUGUAAAAGUGCCGUUGAUACUGUGAGGCUAGGAUUUGGUUGCUGUGGGUGGAAUGUGUGGUGUAGCGGUGAAAUGCUUAGAGAUCACACAGAAUAUCGAUUGCGAAGGCAGCUCACAAAGCCAAGAUUGACGCUGAGGCACGAAAGUGUGGGGAUCAAACAGGAUUAGAUUCCCUGGUAGUCCACACUGUAAACGAUGAUAACUCGCUGUCGGCGAUAUACAGUCGGUGGCCAAGCGAAAGCGAUAAGUUAUCCACCUGGGGAGUACGACCGCAAGGUUGAAACUCAAAUGAAUUGACGGGG